RNAcentral lists this ribosomal RNA (551 nucleotides) under uncultured Rubrobacteria bacterium. Its description in RNAcentral is "bacterial SSU rRNA". It matches the Rfam family "Bacterial small subunit ribosomal RNA", at positions 355 to 897 of the family's 1533-position model. The record is from RNAcentral. Lineage: Bacteria; Bacillati; Actinomycetota; Rubrobacteria.
UGGGGAAUCUUGCGCAAUGCGCGAAAGCGUGACGCAGCAACGCCGCGUGGGGGAAGAAGGCUUUCGGGUUGUAAACCCCUUUCAGGAGGGACGAAGCUUGGUCGGUGAAUAGCCGAGCCAAGUGACGGUACCUCCAGAAGAAGCCCCGGCUAACUACGUGCCAGCAGCCGCGGUAAUACGUAGGGGGCAAGCGUUGUCCGGAAUCAUUGGGCGUAAAGCGCGUGUAGGCGGUCCGAUAAGUCGGUUGUGAAAGUCAAGGGCUCAACCCUUGAAUGCCGACCGAUACUGUCGGGCUAGAGUCCGGAAGAGGUGAGUGGAAUUCCUGGUGUAGCGGUGAAAUGCGCAGAUAUCAGGAGGAACACCAAUGGCGAAGGCAGCUCACUGGGACGGUACUGACGCUGAGACGCGAAAGCGUGGGGAGCAAACAGGAUUAGAUACCCUGGUAGUCCACGCCGUAAACGAUGGGCACUAGGUGUGGGAGGUGUCGACUCCUCCCGUGCCGAAGCUAACGCAUUAAGUGCCCCGCCUGGGGAGUACGGCCGCAAGGCUAA